Molecule: long non-coding RNA, 1273 nt
Filed under: Salmo salar (Atlantic salmon)
Lineage: Eukaryota; Metazoa; Chordata; Actinopteri; Salmoniformes; Salmonidae
Description: lncRNA (ENSSSAG00000121638.1)
Source: RNAcentral
GUCAUGAGUAACUCACUAGUGUUGAGAUCGAAGAGAGAGCCGCAUGUCGCCAUGUGCCAUUUAGUUCAUAUCCUUUACUAGUUACUGAUUAUUAUUAUUAUUGGAUCAUUUGUAGUCAACAAUGGGCCAGUGGUUGCUUCCUACGAGAGCACAAAUCAUGUACUUUUCUAGACAUCUUUGAAAAGCCAGUCAGUGGUUUCUAGCAUCAAACAACACAUGGAAUCCUGACCUGUUCAUCGGACGUGCUACCUGUCCCAGACCUGCUGAAACCCUGACCUGUUCACCGGACGUGCUACCUGUCCCAGACCUGCUGGAACCCUGACCUAUUCACCGGACGUGCUACCUGUCCCAGACCUGCUGUUUUCAACUCUCUAGAGACAGCAGGAGCGGUAGAGAUGCUCUCAAUGAUCGGCUAUGAAAAGCCAACUGACAUUUACUCCUGAGUUAAAUAUCAUUGAGCUGCGUGCACCACAAGCUGUUUACAGGCAUUGAACACCAUUCGGCAUUUUGCCGUCUAUUUUCCAACUUCAAAUCGGUUAAAUCACAUUGUUAAAAUGUUUUCAUUCAGUUACAAAAGUAACAGUCCUGGCCCAUAUGAUAGUGUGCGGUGGCCACAUCAAGGUUACAAUGUAGCCAAGCUGUGUCUGUAUGCCCUAUGGUCCAAAUGAAAAAGCACAGGACGUGCGUCUGGAUAAAACAGCUCUGCCUGGCAACACGAGGGGCUAAAGGGGGAUGAUCCCUCAGCUGAAACUUGAUCCCUCUCAGCUGAAACUUGAUCCCUCUCAGCUGAAACUUGAUCCCUCUCAGCUGAAACUUGAUCCCUCUCAGCUGAAACUUGAUCCCUCUCAGCUGAAACUUGAUCCCUCUCAGUUGAUCCCCCUCAGUUUACAUUGUUUGGAAACUGAUAUGUGAUAAGUAUUAAUGCAAAAAUAACAUGCAAAACAGGCAACACAAAAUAAAAUAAUAUAAAAAAAUAAAUAAUAAUAAAAAAGAAUUUCUGGCCAGAAAUCUUUGGGUCAAAUACUUAUUUCCCUCAUUAAAAUGCAAAUCAUUUUAUAACAUGCGUUUUUCUGGAUAUUUUCAUUGUUAUUCUGUCUCUCACUGUUCAAAUAAACCUACCAUUAAAAUUAUAGACUGAUCAUUUCUUUGUCAGUGGGCAAUUAUCUACAUAAUUUUUCUGCCUUUUGAUGCUAUCUAUUUUGUGAAGUGCACCAGUCCCUCCUGCAGCAAAGCACCCCCACAACAUGAUGCUGCCACCCCCGUGCUUCACGGU